GUUUUCUAGUUUGCAUAUUUG
This 21-nucleotide unclassified non-coding RNA is filed under the name synthetic construct. The record is from RNAcentral.